RNAcentral lists this ribosomal RNA (1349 nucleotides) under Mycolicibacterium neoaurum. RNAcentral's name for it is "bacterial SSU rRNA". It matches the Rfam family "Bacterial small subunit ribosomal RNA", at positions 75 to 1438 of the family's 1533-position model. The record is from RNAcentral. Lineage: Bacteria; Bacillati; Actinomycetota; Actinomycetes; Mycobacteriales; Mycobacteriaceae.
GCCCUUCGGGGUAGUCGAGUGGCGAACGGGGGAGUAACACGUGGGUGAUCUGCCCUGCACUUUGGGAUAAGCCUGGGAAACUGGGUCUAAUACCGAAUAUGAUCAUCGGCUUCAUGGUCGGUGGUGGAAAGCUUUUGCGGUGUGGGAUGGGCCCGCGGCCUAUCAGCUUGUUGGUGGGGUAAUGGCCUACCAAGGCGACGACGGGUAGCCGGCCUGAGAGGGUGACCGGCCACACUGGGACUGAGAUACGGCCCAGACUCCUACGGGAGGCAGCAGUGGGGAAUAUUGCACAAUGGGCGCAAGCCUGAUGCAGCGACGCCGCGUGAGGGAUGACGGCCUUCGGGUUGUAAACCUCUUUCAGCACAGACGAAGCGCAAGUGACGGUAUGUGCAGAAGAAGGACCGGCCAACUACGUGCCAGCAGCCGCGGUAAUACGUAGGGUCCGAGCGUUGUCCGGAAUUACUGGGCGUAAAGAGCUCGUAGGUGGUUUGUCGCGUUGUUCGUGAAAACUCACAGCUUAACUGUGGGCGUGCGGGCGAUACGGGCAGACUAGAGUACUGCAGGGGAGACUGGAAUUCCUGGUGUAGCGGUGGAAUGCGCAGAUAUCAGGAGGAACACCGGUGGCGAAGGCGGGUCUCUGGGCAGUAACUGACGCUGAGGAGCGAAAGCGUGGGGAGCGAACAGGAUUAGAUACCCUGGUAGUCCACGCCGUAAACGGUGGGUACUAGGUGUGGGUUUCCUUCCUUGGGAUCCGUGCCGUAGCUAACGCAUUAAGUACCCCGCCUGGGGAGUACGGCCGCAAGGCUAAAACUCAAAGGAAUUGACGGGGGCCCGCACAAGCGGCGGAGCAUGUGGAUUAAUUCGAUGCAACGCGAAGAACCUUACCUGGGUUUGACAUGCACAGGACGCUGGUAGAGAUAUCAGUUCCCUUGUGGCCUGUGUGCAGGUGGUGCAUGGCUGUCGUCAGCUCGUGUCGUGAGAUGUUGGGUUAAGUCCCGCAACGAGCGCAACCCUUGUCCUAUGUUGCCAGCGGGUUAUGCCGGGGACUCGUAGGAGACUGCCGGGGUCAACUCGGAGGAAGGUGGGGAUGACGUCAAGUCAUCAUGCCCCUUAUGUCCAGGGCUUCACACAUGCUACAAUGGCCGGUACAAAGGGCUGCGAUGCCGUGAGGUGGAGCGAAUCCUUUCAAAGCCGGUCUCAGUUCGGAUCGGGGUCUGCAACUCGACCCCGUGAAGUCGGAGUCGCUAGUAAUCGCAGAUCAGCAACGCUGCGGUGAAUACGUUCCCGGGCCUUGUACACACCGCCCGUUACGUCAUGAAAUUCGGUAACACCCGAAGCCGGUGGCCUAA